Molecule: long non-coding RNA, 1677 nt
Filed under: Jatropha curcas
Lineage: Eukaryota; Viridiplantae; Streptophyta; Magnoliopsida; Malpighiales; Euphorbiaceae
Description: long non-coding RNA (JCUR_LNC000612)
Source: RNAcentral
UUUAAGAUGUAAUCUCCACUUAUUCAUUUGGAGAAAAGAUCAAAACAGCAAAAACUAUCUAAAACUUAACCUAAAAAAUUUGCAACACUAUUCAUCUUCUUCCUUGGAAAUCAUAGCCACCCAUCUCUCUCUCCCUCUUUCUCUUUUCCACUUUCUUCAUAACACACACAAAAUCUCCAGCUCAAGCAAGAAUAUAUGCAUACCUAUGAUAAGGAGAUGGUUUCUUUCAUCUAAACUUGAGUUUCUAUUAUUUUGGUAAGCUUUCUUUGACUAAAAUCUAUUCUACAUCUUCCUCUCUCAUCUAAAAUCUUAAUGAUUUUUCAAUUUAAGGCUACAGAUAAGUUCUAAUGCAUUUAUUAAUGUUAUUCAUGUAUUUAAAUUUCAUUUUAAUAAGUCUAUGUAUUUAUUUUAGAUUUUUCUUUUUUACGUCCAAGAAUAAGGGAAAAGAGGUGGUUAAAGCAUAAUGUUUUGAGGUUUGUAUUUAUGAAACCUAUUUAGACAUUCAGAUAUUAAUCUUACUUGAUGAACUUUUUGAUGAUAUAAAACAUGAGUUUAAUUUAUAAAAAUUGAUGCUUGAUGAGUAUAUAAUAUGAUUUGUGCUUUAGAAUGAUUUUGUGUUCAUGAAAAUUUUAAGCCAUGACCGAACAAGGGAGCUGCUGACUCCCCUUGUUCAUGUGUAUAUUUUAUUUAUUUUUACUUGAUAUCUUGAUUAAUAUGUUGGAAUAAUAUUAUAUGUUGAUUAUUGAAUGAUUUGGUGAAGAUUUGGUGUGUAAUUUGUGCUACAGCGAGCCAUGCAUGCCAUUUAAAUUUAUGUUGUGUGCUAUUUUGAUUUGUGAUUUAUUAAUUGAUAUUGGUGAUUAAUGCUAUUUAUUUUGAUAUUUUUUUAAUUAAAAAAUUGAUUUAUGCCUUAAUUCUGCAAAUUGAACCACUUGUGGGCUAAUUGGAUAUUUUCCAAAUUGUAUAGACUGUUUUGAGACAUUUUCCAAGGAAUUGGCAAUAUUUUCCUAAGCUUGGAGGAGUUAUGAAAUAAAUUUGAUGAAAUAUUGAUUAAUUAAGGAUGAUUAAGGACCAAAUUAAGUAAUUAAUUGGGAAAUUACAUUAAGAAAAAAUUAUGAUUUUAUCCAUUAGUUUUGCUUAUAUUAACUAGCGUACCCUCAUAUUUCUAGAAAUAUACUAAAUAUUCCUGUAUUUUAACCCGUUAAACCAAGUUGCACUUUUGUCCAAAAAAAGACCCAUUUUUCUCAUUAAUUGAACUUAAAAUGACCUAAAUAACCUUUUUACAAUUAGAAAAAAGACACAAAACGAAAGAGGGGAGGGAAAGAUAGUGGCGGUUGGUGUCUUUACAGUUUCCUACUCAAAGAAUCCAUCUUGACAUUGAGGAAGAAUCGAUUUGAAGUUGCUUAUCUAUCGUUAAUGAUGUCUUUGAAGUGAUUUUUGAAUCGCAGUGUUGUUUUCAACUGAAAGUGAAGGAAGCUUUGGAACUCUUCAGUCACUCUAGUUUCGCACUCGAAAGCCCCAUACAUGUUCAUUUUCUAUCACAAAGUGUACCUGUGACGAUUUUUAGUUUUAUUUUGCAUGAAGCUAUGAUUUUCAUCUCUGUAAACUCUUUUUAUGUCAUUUUUUAUUGUUGUUGAAGUUUACGAUUUUGAGGUAAGGUUCUCUUAUUUUUGUUUAAAG